Molecule: ribosomal RNA, 253 nt
Filed under: uncultured bacterium
Lineage: Bacteria
Description: partial 16S ribosomal RNA
Rfam family: Bacterial small subunit ribosomal RNA
Source: RNAcentral
UACGUAGGGGGCAAGCGUUAUCCGGAUUUACUGGGUGUAAAGGGGGCGCAGACGGCGAUGCAAGCCAGGAGUGAAAGCCCGGGGCCCAACCCUGGGGCUGCUCUGGAAACUGCCGGGCUGGAGUGCUGGAGGGGCAGGCGGAAUUCCUAGUGUAGCGGUGAAAUGCGUAGAUAUUAGGAGGAACACCGGUGGCGAAGGCGGCCUGCUGGACAGCGACUGACGUUGAGGCCCGAAAGCGUGGGGAGCAAACAGG